RNAcentral lists this transfer RNA (85 nucleotides) under Candidatus Faecimorpha stercoravium. Its description in RNAcentral is "tRNA-Ser". It matches the Rfam family "tRNA". From Rfam's summary of the family: Transfer RNA (tRNA) molecules are approximately 80 nucleotides in length. Their secondary structure includes four short double-helical elements and three loops (D, anti-codon, and T loops). RNAcentral also lists the same sequence under 1 other name. Lineage: Bacteria; Bacillati; Bacillota; Clostridia; Eubacteriales. The record is from RNAcentral.
GGAGAGGUGUCCGAGUGGUCGAAGGAGCUGGUCUCGAAAUCCAGUACACCUUAGGGUGUCGUGGGUUCGAAUCCCACCCUUUCCG